UAUAAUGUAGGUACAAGUUAUAGCGCAAAUACCGCAUUCAGUUAGUUUGCAGCUUCCAGUUAACAGGUGAUGAAUCCUUAUGAUUCGAGGGCUUGAGUCAGUUAUACAGUUUGAGAAGUAUUGUAUUUUCUUACUUUAGUCAUAUUGAGAUUGGGUAGUUGGGUGUCAUGACCCAUCUAUCUAAAAUCAGUACCUGUAGAGGCUUCAUAGACAGUCAGUAAAAGUUGAUGUAUUCAGUUUCAGUUUUAUUUGUAAAAGUAGAGUUGUAAACGUGUGACGUUCAUAAUUGUAUUGAUCAAGUUCAGAUAAGUUCUAUGUUUUCACUAAUCUCAUGUAGACUUGAGAAUUUUGUUCAGUUGCUUAUGAGUUAUGCCAGUAGAAGGGUUAGCUUAGGGUUACUUAUGACCCUAAUCAUCGUGUGACGUCUCAAGGCCUAAUUUUGGGGCGUUACAAACUUGGUAUCAGAGCAAAGAGUUCAAGUAUCCUAGGGUAUCUAUGAAAUUGUGUCUAGUAGAGUUUCGCGGAAGGGUACGGAUAUGUCUGUACUUUUCUUCGAGAGUCUACAAGGCAUUUAGGAAAGGUCUCCAUUCUUUCAAGUCUUAGAUCGUGCUAUAGAAAGGUUCAUUGAGAAACUUAUACAGACUCUCAUCUUAGCCUAUUCGGGGCAUCCCCGCCUUAUUUUCAAGGUACUAGAGACAGUCAAACUCAAUUCUUUGUAGAUAGUACUUUCUUAAACAAUCCCCACAUAUAGUUACAAAGUUGUAAAUGAGCAAGAAAGUAUCCUAUUAGUACCUUAUCAUGUUUUUCUUAUAAAUCGUGCAAUAAGCCCAAGUUAGUUACGCUUCCAGAUUUCCUCCUCAGAAUCCAUAUUGAUAGUCUAUACUUCUUUAUCUAUGUACUAUUCCUGGGGUAACAUGAUUAGCGAAUUCUAGUUUUCUCCCUCUGAUAAUGCUUUCAGACUUACUUGUGUGGAGUUUCAGAAGUUUUACAAAGCAGCUUGAGUGAAGCCUCCUAGCGUGUUAUAAGUUCCCCAAGCUUAAUGUUAUGUCCUCACUCUUACAAAUCAUUCAGUUAAGACAGAGUGAGAUGUGUAUUCCUAAAUCAUCAAAUAUUGUAUGCCAAGUUUCUACCUUUCAAAAUUUUAUCAUCAUUAUGUUGUUAAAACUAAAAGUCUGGUGAAGCCUUAUGGGGCUCUUUCGAUUCACUAGCAUAAUUUCUUUGUUAUUCACCUCAAAUUCUUUUUCAAAAUACAAAAAUCAAAUACUAGUGAAGCCAGGUGAGGCUUAUUUUGAUUCACUAGCGACUCUUUGUGUAUCUUGUUUUCUCGUGCUGAUUGGAACUGGGUUUAGAGGUGUGGUGGCAAGAAGGGUGGUAAGUUUGAUUUAUUGAAAGUAUGUAUAGCUGAGCCUUUUUGUGUGUGAUCGAGUUAGUGAUGAAGUGAUAUGUCUUUGUACAUUAGCUCGUAAAAGAAGGAGAAGGAGUUAUUGGUUAAGGUAAAUAGUAGUUUACUGAAGUACGAAAAGAGUUAUUGACGGUGUGUUGCAUAAGACAAAUAUAGGUUAUGGAUGAAGAUAUUUUGUGAAUAAGUGUUGUUAACUAGGGUGAUCCUAGGAUUGCAAGAGGAAGUUAAGUUGAGGCUUGGACAGCUAUGGACUAUGUUAAGCUAGGUACGAAGGAUAGAUAGUAAUGAUGGGUAGAAGAAGGAUGUGUUGAUGGGUUAUAAAUGAGAUAGGCCAUAUGAUUAGGACCAAUUAUUGUUAUAAGGUUUAAGUAGGCUAACAUUUAUGGAUAUUUUGUUUUAUAGUUUCCAAGUGAAAAUUUUGUGUGUGAGGUGGAGUUGUAAGUUAUGUUGAGCGCUAGGCAUUAAGCUUAGAUGAUUGGUGGCCAUGAAGGUGGAUGUGAUGAUUUCUUGGUUAAUGGUACUAGUUAUAGAGAAGUGAUCUAAUAGGUUUGAACAGUGUAUAUAAGAGCCUGAGUCUAAUCGGCUUGUAAUUAAUUUUGAUAUUGUAUCCAUGAUAAAGAAGUUUACCCAAAAUGCUAUGGGGCUGUACUAUUUUCGAGGAUCAUUGUACGUGGUGUAGAUAGUAAAGCUGUGGAGCUACUAGGUGGAGAAAAUACUAGUCAGGUAAUGAAUGAUAUUCUUGAUGGCGGAGUUAAGAGGUCUAGAUUGAAAAUGUUGAGCCUUUUUUGUGUGAGUUUGAUUCUCAUUGUUUGGAAAUAUAAGUCUACAAGCAUGAUAUUAGUAGGUUAUAACGGUAGUAGUAUGAUCCAUCAGAGGUUGGGAAGCAUUCAAGUUGAGCGUUAGAAUCUAAGAUUUGAAAUUGCAAAAAAAUUGAGUUAAUAGGAAUGAGGGUUGAGUGUUAGGUGCUGUAUACUCCGAAUAUGGGGAUGAUUGUGUAGAUCUGAAGUUAGUGAGCGUGCGGGUAUCAUAUGAUGACUACUGGAGGUAUAGGGAGAUAGGAUGUAAUUCAGAAGGUGGUGUAAGGAAGUGGUUAUAUAAUUUCAGAUGUAGUCACUCGGAUUAAAUUCUAUUGUUCUUGUGUAUUGAUUAUAUCCCAAACUCUAGAGUAAAAUCAUUUAAGUUUAGAUUAGUGCGUAUAUGGUGGUUCACCUAUUCAGAGUGAUGGCUUAAGUCUAAGGGGGAGAUGAUAGGACGAGUAACCAAGUUAAGCUCCCAAAUUUUAGGAGAUGUACCAGUAAGUUGUAAGGUACCGGUGGGAAAAAAUAAUGCUCGACCCAUUCUUAUUUUAGAAAUUUUCAACAUUUUGAAUAAUUACUCAUGCUUUACACUUCAGUUCCAUAAUCAUAACUCAUGCAUACCAUAAAGAAUUGUCCCCUCUCUUAGUUCCCAAAAUAUGGAGUUUCAGAUCUUUAGGAGUUGGAAUUACAUUCCAUAAAUUGCGAGUUCCAGAUUUAGGUUAUGCGGAUCAUGACUCAUGUACUCAAGUCUUGUGGUAUGUUCAGUUCAAGUACUCAAGUAAUGUUUCUAAUGAUCAACAAAAAUUCAGAUUUAUAUCGUGCAUGUCCUCGGGCUAUAUUUCUUUGAUAAGUUUAUGAUGUUAAAUCCUCUAUUCUUCAAGCCUUAGUUGAGUAUCAAGUUAUGCAUAGUAUCUAUUCAUGUGUCAAAUCCUCAUGCUCUAAUCUUUUAGUUGUCUUUCCUUAAUCAAGAUAGUAGUGGUGAAUGGUUGUUUAGACGGGAGAGAGAAGAUAUUUCCUUAUCUACAUCAGAGGGUGGCAUGCUUACUUUGGCUAGGCGGUAGGUUGAAGUAAGAUUGAGGCUAAGUCUUUGAUACAUGCCAUGGUUAGUUGAAGUUUAAUGUGUAUAAUUGGAAAGAUUGUUGUAUGUUCAUUUUGUGUAAUUCCAUGAGUCUGAGGGGAAAAUUAAAGUGAAGCGUUUGUGUGGGACUUGAUUAGGUAGGAGUAUGUUGGGUGUACUUGUCUAAUUUGAGUGCAUGAAAGUUGUUCUUGAUAAGGGGUGUGUAGGACAUGAAGAAGAGGCUUUAUACUUUAUAAGUAUUUGAUUAGGAAUGCAUAUGUGGUUAUGAAAAUAGGCUCGGAGGUUGAGUUUGUGUACGUAUGGAUAGAUACAUUGUGCCUUAGUAAAUGACUAGUACUAGAUGAAUUGGAGUUGUCGAAAAGGUAAUAAGAAUUACUCUUAAAGUAAGAAGUUGUAAAAAUAUAGAUAUGUGGAAGAAAAUGAUUCAGAAUGGUGUCAUGUGGCGAAUUUGGUGGUUCUAGGUUAGGCAUGAAAACGAUGAGAGGGUUUGGUUUGAGGAGAUAUGACUAGAUAGAAGCAUCAGUGCCAUGUGAGGAUUAUAAGUCGUAUCGGUUAAGUAUAGUAUCAAAAGGGUAUAGUAUAGUUGAGAGAGCGUUCGAGAAGUAUGGUUAAGUUUAAGAGUAAGAAGUCGCAUCACUUGAGGCCUAGUACUUUUAUCCCGACUUGUGAUUUAUAGGUUUAUGUUCCAAGCUAGGGGAUUAUGGCAAUUCGAUGAUCUCUGAUUUAGAUGUCUUGUUUAGAUCUUGCCCGAAGUACCUUGUCCUUCAAACUGUUAGAAUUCCUUGAAAGGGGGUUGAAGGAAUCCUCCACUUAAGUAUGAGUAUCUAGUACGAUUCUGUUUGCAUAGUCGGCAACCCAGCUUUUAAAAUUUAGCAGAUAGGUUCUAUGGUCUUCCAUUUUUCAAAACUAGUAUGGUCUUACCACUCGAAGUUUCAUGAGUACGGUCAAUCCAGCAAGUGGUUGCACGCACCCAAAAGCUACGAAUUUAGUUCAGUAUAUGUAUCAGGCAUCUGUUUCAGAUUCGGAUAUCUAAUUAUGAUUCAGUCUGUAGGUAUUCAUUGAACGGUCUUUAUUUUUUCCACGUAUUCUAACCCAGACAAUGUAAUACCUAUUGUAUAAUUUUAGCCUUGUUCCUUGUGAUCUACGCUUGCAUAAAUUAACACUUCGCAGUCUAUGAGUACGAUGUACCCUGAUCACAUCAAGUGAAUCCUAAACUCUCAGCAUGAGCCCGCUCUUUAUUAUAAGCAGAAGGCAAACCAGCUCAGACUUAGUUGAGAAUUACAGUUGUCCUCUAUUCUAUUAUUUACCAGUCUCGGAUCCAACGGUAUAGCUAUUCUCACCACGAGUUGUACAUUCAGCAAAGUAUUCCAAAGCUUAGAAAGAUAUAGAUUUAUAUUAGAAAAUUGUUUCAACUAUGUAUCUAUAGUUUUCUCUGUGUUCUUGGCAAAACUAGCAACAUUCGAGGACGAAUGUUUCCAAAAGGGAGAUAUUGUAAUACACCCGAUUGUUCCUUGAGUCUAAAUCUAUCUUCUGAGUAUAUGGAAAUGACUUCCAAAGUGAAUGCUGAUAGAACCAUGUAUAAUUUCUCUAAUUUCUACUUUUUGUCAUGUAGAGCAUUGAAUAAGCUUUCCAUCGAUACCAAUUUUAUCGAAAUCCGACAUCGGAUGGGGGAGUUGUGGCUAUUUUACUAAACAAUAUCGGAAUCGCCCAGGCUUGAUGGUGGACCUGACUGACCGCCAAGUCCUUGGUGGACCAUCAAGUGUCCCAUCAAGGCAAGGCAGUGACCUCUCUUUUUAGUCAUCAUGUGAUGGCCAAAGUGGUGGACCGUCAAAAAGUUGAUGGACCAUUAAUGGGUCCGUCAGGUUGAGGCAGAAUGUUCCAUUUUUGGCCCCUGAGUGACGGACGAUCUGGUGGACCGUCAGAUUCCUGACGGACCAUCACUUAGACCAUCACUCUGAGGCAGAACAUCCUAGUUUUGGAACUCAAGUGACGGACGACUUGGUGGACCGUCAGUCCCUCUGACAGACCGUCAGGUCAACCGUCACAGGCCCCGAUCAGUGAAUUUCAGCUUUUUCAAAAGAGCAUUUUGGUUUUUUUUUUGCCCAUUUUCGUAUUAUAAAUAUAUCCAAGUAGUAAAGUGAAGAUCAUUUUCUCUUAUUUCUCUCCAAUCUCUCCAAGAACUCUCUAGAAGCUAGGGUUUUCUUCCAAGACCCAAAAAAACUCAAUCUUCUUCCAAGAAAUUCAAGAAUCUCCCAUAGAUUUCUCCAAGUGGUUCAAGAAUCAAGCUUUCCUAGUCAAAGGCAUCAAGAAUCUUAUCCAAAAAGUGCGAGAAAGAAGUUCCAAUCAAGUCUCUUAUUCUCAAAUUUAUAAUUCAAGGUAUGUGGGGUUUGAACAAUAACACUUCUUUUGUUCUUGUGCCCAAAGAUUUAAUUUCUACUAUUGAAAUCCAUGUUUUGCAAAGUGGGUUUACACCCAAAUUACUUUAUUAAUGAUUUAUGAUAUUUGAUCAAAUCAAGAUUGAUACACAUGACUAUUUCAUCAUUUUGGUUCAUAAAUUGAGAAUUCAUUUCAUGAGUUAUAUAUUGUCAUUAUGUAGCGAUGAUUUCUAAGCGAUUUAAAAAAGGUUUCAUGAGUUAUUCAUUUCGAUGAGAAAUUUGACAAUUGAAUAUAUAUCGAUAUUUGAGAUUGAAAGUCAAGAAUGAGUCCUACGAUGUUUCCUUGAAGCUUUUGAUAUUUGAAAAUGAUUUGAAAAGCAAAUGUACUUGAUGUUGAUAAAGAUUGUGUUGAGUUGAGUCGAGUUAGGAAUCCACAAGAUGUUUAUGAUUUACAGAUGAGAUAUAUAUUUAUGUUUUGGUCUUUCUAAUAGACCCAUGAGUUGAUAUUGAUUAAGGUGGAUUUCCUAACGCGUUCUAAGCUAAGUCUGGGAGGAGUAUUUAGCACCGAGCGACAAAUGUGGUAUUUCCCCAAAACUACGUGCCACCGUAGGAUUAUGUUGAUAAUUGUGGGCUAGAGGUCGAGUAUGGGAUUGUGACAAUGAUAUUGAGGUUGUACUCCCUGAAAAGAGUACAACACCCCCGCCAAUGUGGGGUCCUCUCCUUAGGAGGGCAAAAUGUUGGACUCCAUGCGGCUCACACGGUGUAGUCAUGUCGGUUAUAAGAAACUCCCAAGUCCAUAAGAGUUCAAGUUUCAUGAGUUAUCGAGUCACUCUAAGUCAUGAUUUAAAGAGUUUGUGUUGAGUCUAAUGAUUUAUAAGAUAUAUAAUGCUUUCAUUACUAAUGAUAAGUUUCAAGGAAUAUAUUUCAAUUAAUUCAAGCAAAGAAAGUCGUUAUCAUCAGGAUGCAUGAUUUUUGUAAUCAUUUAUGAUAUUAUUUAUAAUGUUGCGUUGCACCCUCACAUACUUAGUACAUUCUUUAAAGUACUGACCUCCAUAUAUUUCUAUAUGCUAAAGUGCCUUAUAAUGUAGGUACAAGUUAUAGCGCAAAUACCGCAUUCAGUCAGUUAGCAGCUUCCAGUCAGCAGGUGAUAAGUCCUUUUGAUUCGAGGGCUUGAUUCGUUAUACAGUUCGAGGAGUAUCGUAUUUUCUUACUUUAGUCGUAUUGAUAUUGGGUAGUUGGGAUUCAUGACCCAUCUUUCUGAAAUCAGUACCAGUAGAGGCUUCAUAGACAGUCAGUAGAAGUCGAUGUAUUCAGUUUCAGUUUCAUUUGUAAAAGUAGAGUUGUAACCUUGUAAUGUUCAUAAUUGUAUUGAUAAAGUUCUGAUAAGUUCUAUAUUUUCGUGGAUCUCAUGUA
This 7065-nucleotide long non-coding RNA is filed under the name Capsicum annuum. Its description in RNAcentral is "long non-coding RNA (CANN_LNC005338)". The record is from RNAcentral. Lineage: Eukaryota; Viridiplantae; Streptophyta; Magnoliopsida; Solanales; Solanaceae.